CUCCCCUGCAUGUAUCAUGUGGCCUUGCAUACCACCAAUUAGAACCACUCAUUUCUAUAGGAUGCUUCGAGAUAUGCAUUUGAUAAGUGAGGCCUAUAGGAAUGAGCAGUUGUGGUUAGUGGCAUGCAUGGCCAUGUGGUAUAUACAAUAUAGGAAAUAAUUUCUCUAUAAUCAAGAAAGAAAGGAAAAGUAUAACAAAAAGGA
RNAcentral lists this long non-coding RNA (204 nucleotides) under Elaeis guineensis (African oil palm). Its description in RNAcentral is "long non-coding RNA (EGUI_LNC026460)". The record is from RNAcentral. Lineage: Eukaryota; Viridiplantae; Streptophyta; Magnoliopsida; Arecales; Arecaceae.